AAAAUAUUCAUCAUUUGCAAAACCCAACAUAUCGUAAUUUCUUAGAGAUGAUGAAGUCCAUGAAGAUGAUCGGAAGCUUGAGCUGUUGCAUGUGGCUAGUGAUGGCCAUGGUAACUUCAGCCCAAGAUAACGCUCCGGUGCUCGACACCUCCGGGCAGGCUCUUCAAUCCGGUGUAGACUACUUCAUUAAACCCGCCAUCACCGACAUCGGCGGCCGUUUCACUUUGAUCGACCGAAACGACUCGUGUCCUUUAUAUGUUGGUCAAAAAAACACCUCCGGCUCCGAGGACUUCCCGGUGACCUUUGCGCCUUUCGUAGAGGGCGAGACGGUGGUGAGAGAGGGUAGGGAUCAGAAGAUCACAUUCUCUGCAGUCACAACCUGUGUGCAAUCAACUACAUGGAAGGUGGGUGAGAAGCAGUCCGAGACCCAGAGGAGGUUGAUUGUCACCGGAAUUGAUCAAAACGAAGGAAUAGCGGGUCCUGCCGGAAAUUACUUCAGGAUUAAUAAAGAUGCAGAUAUU
RNAcentral lists this long non-coding RNA (521 nucleotides) under Fragaria vesca (wild strawberry). Its description in RNAcentral is "long non-coding RNA (FVES_LNC001295)". The record is from RNAcentral. Lineage: Eukaryota; Viridiplantae; Streptophyta; Magnoliopsida; Rosales; Rosaceae.